Molecule: ribosomal RNA, 540 nt
Filed under: Bactrocera lineata
Lineage: Eukaryota; Metazoa; Arthropoda; Insecta; Diptera; Tephritidae
Description: partial 16S ribosomal RNA
Rfam family: Bacterial large subunit ribosomal RNA
Source: RNAcentral
UUAACAAAAACAUGUCUUUUUGAGUUAUUUUUAAAGUCUGACCUGCCCACUGAAAUUUUUAAAUGGCCGCAGUAUUCUAACUGUGCAAAGGUAGCAUAAUCAUUAGUCUUUUAAUUGAAGGCUGGUAUGAAUGGUUGGACGAGGUAUAAGCUGUUUCAUAUAAAUUUAUAAUAGAAUUUUAUAUUUUAGUCAAAAAGCUAAAAUUUAAUUAAAAGACGAGAAGACCCUAUAAAUCUUUAUACUUUACGUUGUUUAAAUUUUUUAGAUUGGUUUUAUUUUUAUAGUUUAAAGUAUUUUGUUGGGGUGAUGUUAAAAUUUAAUGAACUUUUAAUUAUUAAAAAUCAUUAAUUUAUGAUUUAUUGAUCCAUUAGUAGUGAUUAUAAGAUUAAGUUACUUUAGGGAUAACAGCGUAAUUUUUUUGGAGAGUUCAUAUCGAUAAAAAAGUUUGCGACCUCGAUGUUGGAUUAAGAUAUAUUUUUAGGUGUAGCCGCUUAAAUAUUAAGUCUGUUCGACUUUUAAAUUCUUACGUGAUCUGAGUUC